Molecule: ribosomal RNA, 1161 nt
Filed under: Vibrio aestuarianus
Lineage: Bacteria; Pseudomonadati; Pseudomonadota; Gammaproteobacteria; Vibrionales; Vibrionaceae
Description: partial 23S ribosomal RNA
Rfam family: Bacterial large subunit ribosomal RNA
Source: RNAcentral
GGUUAAGUGACUAAGCGUACACGGUGGAUGCCUUGGCAGUCAGAGGCGAUGAAGGACGUAUUAACUUGCGAUAAGCGUAGAUUAGGCAGUAAAAGCCACUUGAGUCUACGAUUUCCGAAUGGGGAAACCCACUAGCAUAAGCUAGUAUCGCUGCGUGAAUACAUAGCGCAGCGAGGCGAACUCGGGGAACUGAAACAUCUAAGUACCCGAAGGAAAAGAAAUCAACUGAGAUUCCGAAAGUAGCGGCGAGCGAAAUUGGACUAGCCCUUAAGCUUUAAAUGAUGCAGGUGAACACGCUGGAAAGCGUGGCAAUAAAGGGUGAUAGCCCCGUAACCGACACAUCAUUCUAAGUGAAAACGAGUAAGGCGGGACACGUGAUAUCCUGUUUGAAUAUGGGGGGACCAUCCUCCAAGGCUAAAUACUACUGACUGACCGAUAGUGAACCAGUACCGUGAGGGAAAGGCGAAAAGAACCCCUGUGAGGGGAGUGAAAUAGAACCUGAAACCGUGUACGUACAAGCAGUAGGAGCAAGGUAAUGCCUUGUGACUGCGUACCUUUUGUAUAAUGGGUCAGCGACUUAUAUUCAGUGGCAAGGUUAACCGUAUAGGGGAGCCGUAGGGAAACCGAGUCUUAACUGGGCGCUUUAGUCUCUGGAUAUAGACCCGAAACCGAGUGAUCUAGCCAUGGGCAGGUUGAAGAUUGAGUAACAUCAAUUGGAGGACCGAACCGACUAAUGUUGAAAAAUUAGCGGAUGACUUGUGGCUAGGGGUGAAAGGCCAAUCAAACUCGGAGAUAGCUGGUUCUCCCCGAAAGCUAUUUAGGUAGCGCCUCGGACGAAUACUACUGGGGGUAGAGCACUGUUAAGGCUAGGGGGUCAUCCCGACUUACCAACCCUUUGCAAACUCCGAAUACCAGUAAGUACUAUCCGGGAGACACACGGCGGGUGCUAACGUCCGUCGUGGAGAGGGAAACAACCCAGACCGCCAGCUAAGGUCCCAAAUUACUACUAAGUGGGAAACGAUGUGGGAAGGCUCAGACAGCCAGGAUGUUGGCUUAGAAGCAGCCAUCAUUUAAAGAAAGCGUAAUAGCUCACUGGUCGAGUCGGCCUGCGCGGAAGAUGUAACGGGGCUAAGUAGUAAACCGAAGCUGCGGCUGCAAUCG